RNAcentral lists this small nuclear RNA (20 nucleotides) under Phaeodactylum tricornutum CCAP 1055/1. RNAcentral describes it as "snRNA PTsRNA00032a". Lineage: Eukaryota; Bacillariophyta; Bacillariophyceae; Surirellales; Neidiaceae. The record is from RNAcentral.
UCGAUUCCCGGCUUGGACCC